Molecule: small RNA, 4799 nt
Filed under: Rattus norvegicus (Norway rat)
Lineage: Eukaryota; Metazoa; Chordata; Mammalia; Rodentia; Muridae
Description: uncharacterized LOC108348625
Source: RNAcentral
GAGAUCGUGUGAGCUGCUAUGUGGACGCUAGGGGUUGAAUCCGGGUCCUUGGGAAGGGCAGCCCGUGCUCGUCACGGCUGAAUCAUCUCUCCGUCGCCAACUUGGAAUUUUUUUAUCCACUAUUUCUUUAGAUGUUCUGCAUUCCUGCUCUUUCUCUGUCCUUCUGGGGCAUCACCCAUGUGUCGGUGCGAAACCAUCAAGUUUCAAUAGAAAGAAAUCUCAGUACCUAUUUAUUUGGGUCCAUACUGUUCUCUUCUGAUCCUCAGACUGGGUAAUUUCAAUUGAUCUGUCUUAUUGUCAAUAUUCAAUUGAUUUUGCCUCACUAAUUUUCUCUUCAUUUCAUAGCUCAGAUCUUUCUACUAAAUCAACCCACUAAAUUAUUUUUUUACUUUAUAUUCCUGCAUUAUCUUUCCUUUAAUUCUUUUUUUUAAACUUUUAUAAAGAACUAGGUAUCUAAUGCAGGGUCCCAUCCAUGUUUGGCAAACGUGAUCUACUUAGCCACACUCGAGGCUUUGGACAUUAGUUCUGUGAAAACAGACAGCGCCUAUGUGGCCCAGGCUGGUCUUUCACUUGCUAUGUAGCUCAGGUUAUCCUCAACCUUGUCAUUCUCCUGUUUCCCAAGUGCUAUGAUUGCAGACCUGGGCCAGAAGACCUCAAAUUCUUUAGCCAUGAUUUCAUUUAAUUCUUUAAGCAUAGUUAGUAGAUGUCUUUAAGUGUUUGCAUGUCACGUCUAACCUUUAGGCUGUCUUAGCUUUUAUCCUAGUUAGGGUUUCUAUUGCUGUGAUAAAAUGCCAUGACCAGAAGCAACUUGGAGAGGAAAAGGUUUAUUUCAUCUUAUCCUUCCAGUUAACAGUCUACUGCUGAUGGGAGUCAGGGCAGGAAUUCAAGCUGGGGAAGAACCUGGAGCCUCCUAUGUGCUCCAACCCUGUCCCCACUCCAGUGGCAGUGUUAAACAAUCUCAAGUGACUGCUGUUAGCUAACACCCUCGAGACAAGCUGAACACGCGGAAGAGACUCUGAGGUGCAGACCUUCCAGUGAAGCCAUAGGCUCAAUGGAUGUGAAGUGGGUCCUGUGACUAAUACCACACUGGUCCUUGAGCUACUGCACGAUAACCAGAAGAAACCUAAGCUUCAGCUCUCUGCUGGCUCUCCCUACGCACCACUGACGUCCAGAUCCUUCUCUCCAUCAACUGCAUCCUGCCAUUUGAAAAGAACUUUCUUCUGCUUUGCUGCGGACCCAACCUGGAUUUUCAUGGACGCUAAGCAAACACCCUACCACCGUGUUAACUUCCUACCCCACCCCAUGAUCCUGCCCUUUAAAAGGAAGAGCUAUCAAAUGGAUAAGUAUAUGAUAAAAGUUUUAUCAAGCUAUUUAGUUAUUUGCCUCUUACUUCUUAUCAGACAAAUGCCAGUUCAGCAAUUGAAUGACAAUUGUGACUUCUGUGACAUGUUAAUAAAGCUCAGAACCUCCAGAUUUUCUGUUGGUGUAGGUUACUGAAGCAGAGCUAUAUCCUUUCCUCUGAGCUGUCUUCACUGCCUUGAAGACACUGCACUGAAGAAAAGGGAGCCAUGGAGCCUUGGUGUAAAUCCCCAUAUUAUUAACUACUGCACUUUGAUCUCCAUGAAAGUCACAACUCUUGUGAAUCUUAGGUUCUCACCCCCAAGACAUUUCUAAUGUCUGAUUCUGUAAUUUUUUUAAAAUAACAGUAGCUCUUACAAGUCCACGAUACCAUAAAUGGUAGCUCCUUUUAGAGGCUGUGUCUGAAUCAACUACUGAUUAUGUGUUAUAGUUUGCUCCUGAAUGUCUCAAACAAGUUGUACGCCUCUGAUGAUGUGGUUUGGAAACAAUCUGUGGGUGUUUUUAAGACAUAAAGACUGGCCGAUUAAAUAUACUAUUAUGGGUAAGCCUUCAAAGAUGAUACCCUGACUUCAGGUCCAACCUUGCUCUCUGCUUCCUGGCCUGCUGCAUUGUGAACAAUUUCCCCCACGUCUUCCUCUGUCAUGAGCUAAGUUGCUCUUCUCUGUCUUCCCUACCACAAUAGGUUGGAACAUUCUGAAAUGGUGAGCUAAUGUAAACUCUGCUUCUGGGAGCCUGCUGGGAGAGCUUCUUUCUUAUUGCUCCACAUGGAUGUAGAGAGGCCAAAACACAAUUCAUCUUUGAAAGCAUACCAAGGAAUGCCAUGCUGGACAUUGUAAAUGUAUUUCAAACAAGAUACCUGGAGACCCUGUAAUGAAGGAGGUGGGAACAAUUUUUUUUCACUUCCAGUUGAGUCAAUUCUAAAACUAAAAUCUCCCAAAACAGCAGAGGAGGGCAAAGUGCCAUCACAAAGGCUCUUGGGAAGUAUUCAACAAGAGGAUUCAUUCAGAUGUGACAAUUUAUCCCCCAAUUUUACAUUGCCUUCCUUUGGAAAGAGGGAGAUGAAUGCAUGUUGUUUUGCUUGUAACUGCAGAAGAGGAAACAGGGACUCUUCGGUGUUUAGUGCAUAAAUCAUCUCCCUAUAGCUGAGGGGAUAGAGACAGCUUGAAAUAGAGAACAAUGCAAGAAAGAAAGAGAACAAGAUUUUCAACUGGAGCUUACCAAUGCCCCAAAGAUGAAUGUCUGUGAGGAAAAGGCCACUCAACUAUCCUGCAAAUCCCCUGACUGUGGCUCAUACGCCUUCCAUCUUGAGCCCUCUGCCCUGAACAAGCAACCCUGGCUAAGAAAGAGUCAAGCAUUCAACACCCCAGAGCUUGCUUGGCCUGUCAUCUGUUCUUCUGGGGGAGGGGCUACAGAAGCACCACUUAAAACACUGGUUGGUGGCUCUUCCAUAGAGUCUUUGAGUGUGACACCUACAUAGGGAGCCAACACCAGCCAAACCAAAACCAGCCAAGAGUGGCCCAGAGAGAAACUAGAACACAGAGGGAACGUGGUAUUAGAUUCAGCUGCAGAGAUCUCAUCAUCGUUACAACAGCAACAGCAAAGCAAGUGUGUUUCAGCUGAGUCAACCUAGGUAAUGAUGUAGGCUGUUGGAUUAAUUGUUUUUCUGUGAGCCUAGAAUGCUAAGAAAAGCACUUACAAAAGAAGGAUCUAUUUUGCUCAAUCUUGGAGGUCCAAUCUUGAGUUGCUGCUUCUCACAACAUGAGCAGAUGUUUUGCAACAAAGGAGCACAGGGAAGAGGGCACAUGCCAUUCUAUGGUGAACCCAAAUUCAGAAAAUGAUUGGGAAAAGAUACAACCUCAGUGGAAACUACCUCAGUGGCUUACUUCCUCCGGCUAAGUCCUGGAUCCUUCCUGUCACCACUUCUCAACAACACUGCUGUAAUAUGAACUCAUCUAGGGAUUAAUCCAGUCAUUAGACCAGCAGCCUUGUGAUCUAGCUAUCUUCACAAAUGUGCCCGGCACUAUAUUUCACUCAUCUAGGGGCUUCUCAGUCAGUCAGGUUGACAGGCAAGAUUAGCUAUCACAGUGGGGUUUUGCAAGAUGAUCCUAUGUAGUGUCAGGGAAAAAAUAAGAGCAUUCCUAGUGGUGCUGAUUUUCCUAAACCAUUGCUUCUCUGUUAUUGCUUGUAGGCACUUAAAAAUAGAUGUAUAGAAUGUUCAUAACUUUUCAUUUUUGAAUGGAAGCAGCCAGAGCUAACAGUGGGAAUAUGUACCAAGGAUAAGAAACUGCUUCUGCAAGGACAGUCAAGAGUGGCGGUGUUUCCCAAAAUUUCCCUUGAUACAUUCGAGACCCAAAACCUGGAAAUUCUGAGACUGAUAUGAGCCUUCCUACAAACGAGGUAUACCAGCUGUGCCUCCAGAAACAGCUUCGGCAACAGAUCUAUAGGGCAGGAGGCUGAGGAAAGGAGAAAAUCAAAGACAGCCUCCAGAGGAAACUCCAGUGGCCACAGAGAGAAUGAGUUUAGCUAUCUACCACGGAGGAAGGAAAGAAUUUAGAGCAGAAGCAGUCAGCCGUUGACCUGCAUUAAAACCACAUCUACUCGGUUUCCCACUUGUGUGGCUGUACACCUCUGAUAUGGAUCACUCCAGAAUUUUAAAAUAAGCUCCUGACUUGCUACACAAUUGAGCUCCAUGAGGAUCAGUCGUCAUUAAACAUUAAAAAGAAACAUAAAAACCUUCAAGAAGAGAUGUCUAAAAGUCACCAAAUUUUCACAGAUUUUCUUACAAUUUCCCACUUCUUCUCUAGUGGCUACAAAAUUUGUCCAACAUAGAAAAGGCUGUCAAAAAGAAAUACCAAGAAGUCUACCAUGAAACCCAAAUAGAAGAAAUUACCAAAUGAAGAUUUUGAAAGAAUUUUAAUGCUGUUCUUUGAGAUCACUAAGCAAACAUGAAACAACUGUGAAUAUUAAAAAAGUAAACUGUAUUCUAUAUCUAUUUGCUCAAAAUGCCAUAAUACUGCAUUUGGCGAUUUUAUGCACAUGUUAGGAUAGAUUGAGAGGCAGUGAGGUGUUUCUUUCCAUAUCAAAGUCUUUAUUCCUACUGUAAUAAGCUAUAGAUGUUACUGUUGUAAGCUAUGAGUUUGUGUAUGCCUGCAUGUGUAUGCGUUGUGUGCACAAACCCAGAGGCCAGAGCAGCACUCCAAGUGUCUUCCUCUAUUGUUUUCCACCAUAUUGUCUUGAGUCCAGGUCUCUUGCUGACUCAGAAGCUGGUCAUCUUGGCUUGACUAGCUGCCUAGUGAACUCUUGGAAUCCACCUAUCUCAGGCACCUGAUGCUGGAGUUGCAGGUGCACAAAGCCAUGUUAUGCCUUCUGUUGUUCUUUUCCUUUCCUUUCUUUUCUUUUUCUCAAGGCAGGGUUUCUCUGUGUAACAGCCCUGGCUGUUU